RNAcentral lists this long non-coding RNA (1323 nucleotides) under Anas platyrhynchos platyrhynchos (common mallard). Its description in RNAcentral is "lncRNA (ENSAPLG00000018398.1)". Lineage: Eukaryota; Metazoa; Chordata; Aves; Anseriformes; Anatidae. The record is from RNAcentral.
UUAGGCAAAGAAAAACCUUGUGAGUGGGUGUUUAGUCUUGGCAGGGGGAAUGCAGGUUGCUGAAAUGAGGUGUAUAGGCAUAUGCAAGCACUGCAGAGACAGAGCACCCCUGAAGAUCUAUGUAGCACAUGUGGAUGAAAUGUUUUUUCCAGGUUUAAAUCAGGAGCUUAGUAGCUUAUGUAGGUUGAUGUAGGCCUCCCAUAUGUGGAACAGAGUGCUCUGAGACCAGCCAACAUCACACGCUAAGGCUCAGGAUGGUGAAGAGGUGCCUGACACAUGGCUGAAUUUAAAGUUGGUGUCCUAAUGAUUUGGAAUUAGUGUAUACAUAUGUUUAUUUUUCCCAGUAGGUGCCCAGUUGCUGAGGAUUUGAUGUCCUUUGCUUACCUUGGAGCCGUUCAGGAAACAGCCAGGCAUUUAUUUCUUCAAGAAGCAUCUGUACUUCCCAGGCUAGUACCUUCAACAAUGGCCUCCAGGACAGUCUGAGCAAGGCAGUGCUCUCUGACCCUCCUGCUGGGGCAGAGUCACCAUACACCAGGAAAUGCAAGACAUGCAGGAGAAUGAGCAAAAGAGGCUUUGGGACCUGAUCCCAGUCCAACCUCAUGUUGUGCCCAGUGGCUCUCAACGGGAAGCACAAGUGGUCUCUGGCUCUGAGCACAACGAGGUCCAAGUACACUCUUCUCCCUCAGGAUGAAUGCUGCAGCCCUCCCAGGCUUCUCCAAGACCUCUUUAUGCAGUAUGUGAGGUGGUGGUGUGUCAAAUGGUGCAACAUGGAUGCAGAAGGGCUAAGGCAGCCCUAAAGCAGGCAGCAGGCAUUCUUCUGGCACAGGGCUCCUGCAAUGGAUAAUCAGAAAUACUCAUGGGAAAAGUAGCUGGGGAAUCCAAUGGAUAUGUGACUCAUAGAAACAUCAAGGAUGAAUGGAAAGGAAAAUAACCUAGUUUCUCACACUGCUUUGUGACUUGUCACAGAAGAUGAAGUGGCAAAUCCUCAUAGAAAAGAUUUUCCAAUGUGUCAAAGGUGACAACAGGGACAACCAUCUCUGACCAUAUAAGCUGGUAAGAUGCAGUUCUUUCUGGAAAAUUCUCACCUUCAGGGUAAGGAGGUGAGUAGCCCAACACACAAGCCAGCUCCUGUGUACAAGCGACUGGGGAAAUCUUAAUCGAUAAGCAUAACCUAGAAGGAUAUAUUCCUGCCUCCUAUUUUUCUAUUGCAGUUUUAUUAUUGCAGAUCCAUAUUUUAAUCUGUGUAUGACAAAAUGAAAUGGUUCUUAUGUGUUAUUCCUAUUUUGUAUAGUAAUAAAAUGAUUUGCUAUCACUGGGUAGGCA